RNAcentral lists this non-coding RNA (98 nucleotides) under Heterosigma akashiwo. Lineage: Eukaryota; Raphidophyceae; Chattonellales; Chattonellaceae. The record is from RNAcentral.
UCGACCUCGACGCCCAGGUUGUUGUUUUCGACGGCUCAGGCACAAUCGUCGACGCAGCAUUCUACAAUCAGCUCAAAGCGUGCAAUGGAAGCAUUUGC